AAAAAAGCUAAGAUUUUAUUUGAAAAACCGAAAUUUUCAACUAUAAGUUAUCAAAAAAGCACACCCAAGUGCGUAUAAAAAACUGCACAACCAUACUGCUUUC
Molecule: long non-coding RNA, 103 nt
Organism: Drosophila ananassae
Lineage: Eukaryota; Metazoa; Arthropoda; Insecta; Diptera; Drosophilidae
Exons: 2
Source: RefSeq, a predicted model, not a curated record